GACGAACGCUGGCGGCGUGCUUAACACAUGCAAGUCGAACGGUAAGGCCCUUCGGGGUACACGAGUGGCGAACGGGUGAGUAACACGUGGGUGAUCUGCCCUGCACUUCGGGAUAAGCCUGGGAAACUGGGUCUAAUACCGGAUAGGACCACUGCCUGCAUGGGUGGUGGUGGAAAGCUUUUGCGGUGUGGGAUGGGCCCGCGGCCUAUCAGCUUGUUGGUGGGGUGAUGGCCUACCAAGGCGACGACGGGUAGCCGGCCUGAGAGGGUGACCGGCAACACUGGGACUGAGAUACGGCCCAGAGUCCUACGGGAGGCAGCAGUGGGGAAUAUUGCACAAUGGGCGCAAGCCUGAUGCAGCGACGCCGCGUGAGGGAUGACGGCCUUCGGGUUGUAAACCUCUUUCAGCACCGACGAAGCGCAAGUGACGGUAGGUGCAGAAGAAGGACCGGCCAACUACGUGCCAGCCGCCGCGGUAA
RNAcentral lists this ribosomal RNA (478 nucleotides) under uncultured bacterium. RNAcentral's name for it is "partial 16S ribosomal RNA". It matches the Rfam family "Bacterial small subunit ribosomal RNA", at positions 28 to 523 of the family's 1533-position model. The record is from RNAcentral.